This 255-nucleotide ribosomal RNA is filed under the name uncultured bacterium. RNAcentral describes it as "partial 16S ribosomal RNA". It matches the Rfam family "Bacterial small subunit ribosomal RNA", at positions 524 to 776 of the family's 1533-position model. The record is from RNAcentral.
UACGUAGGGUGCAAGCGUUAUCCGGAAUUAUUGGGCGUAAAGAGUUGCGUAGGCGGUUCGUAAAGUUUUUGGUGAAAGCCUCAGGCUCAACCUGGGAAUUGCCAAGAAUACUCACGAACUUAGAGGGAAUCAGGGGGUGCUGGAACUCGUGGUGUAGUAGUAAAAUGCGUUGAUAUCACGAGGAACACCAAAGGCGAAGGCAGGCACCUGGGAUUUUCCUGACGCUAAGGCACGAAAGCGUGGGGAGCGAAACGG